Molecule: ribosomal RNA, 259 nt
Filed under: uncultured bacterium
Lineage: Bacteria
Description: partial 16S ribosomal RNA
Rfam family: Bacterial small subunit ribosomal RNA
Source: RNAcentral
UACAGAGGGGGCGAGCGUUGUUCGGAAUUACUGGGCGUAAAGGGCGCGUAGGCGGCCCGCUAAGUCGAACGUGAAAUCCCCAGGCUCAACCUGGGAACUGCGUCCGAUACUGGCAGGCUUGAAUCCGGGAGAGGGAUGUGGAAUUCCAGGUGUAGCGGUGAAAUGCGUAGAUAUCUGGAGGAACACCGGUGGCGAAGGCGGCAUCCUGGACCGGUAUUGACGCUGAGGGUGCGAAAAGCGUGGGGGGAGCAAACAGGGA